RNAcentral lists this long non-coding RNA (428 nucleotides) under Lupinus angustifolius (narrow-leaved blue lupine). Its description in RNAcentral is "long non-coding RNA (LANG_LNC003276)". The record is from RNAcentral. Lineage: Eukaryota; Viridiplantae; Streptophyta; Magnoliopsida; Fabales; Fabaceae.
UAACAUUAAAAAAACACUUGAUGGGAGGAAACUCAUUGUUUAAAUUUAUGCACUUUAAAUUUCAAUAAUUUUAUUUUUUAUUACUAAUUUACUUUUUUCAAGUUACAUGUGUUAUGGAGCUACAAUGGAGGCACUUUGGUAAGAAAAUCUGCACACACACACUUGGUCAUGAACACCAAUGUAUUGAGCAAAAUAAACCACGCUUAGCACGUUGCCUUGAGCAUUGAGCACAACCCUUGCAUUGAGUGCACGAAGGGGGUUUGGUGAUUAAAUAGCCUCUAUAACUUGUAUACUAAGCCAAUUUCACCGCCCUCAGACCCUCUCCUAUGCUAAGGGAUGUAUGCUCCGCUGAGCGCAUUGCUUGUGAAGUUGAGCGUAAACCCUACGAUAAGCGUAUUGGAUAAGUGCCAAACAUACCUAAAUUUCAU